Tachyglossus aculeatus (Australian echidna) is the source of this 561-nucleotide long non-coding RNA. RefSeq lists it as uncharacterized. NCBI's taxonomy places the organism in Eukaryota, Metazoa, Chordata, Mammalia, Monotremata, Tachyglossidae. The transcript is spliced from 3 exons. The record is from RefSeq and is a predicted model, not a curated record.
GAGCUGGCGCGCAUGCGUAAUUCUCACGCCCCCGCCUCGCGCUGUAGCCGUUGCGCUCCUUAAAGGGGCUCUCCGGAGGGAUUUGAGGGAAGGGGGCAAUUACCUGACAGGCCUUGGACGAAUAGUCCGGUAGUUGCCUGCCUCCAGGAGUGAGCCGUUUAUGUUUGGUAGCCCUUGGCUUUCAACUUUUCAAAUUGUGAUGAAUGACAUUUCUGACAUGUCAAAAUGAAACCCCUGCUUGGCUUAACGACAUGCGGCCUGACUUCACAACAUUACCCUCUUGUAUGGCCCCAGUUCUGCUUACUGCCCAGAGCAGCACAGUACUUCAUCAGAAGUAAGAUGGAUGUGCCUGCCCUCCCUGGGGACUCCCCUCAUCUACCAGUUGUCACGGUCUACACUAUCUACUCAGUUGAGUAGCUAAACUUGGAUGAUGGGAGGAAACAACUAAGAAGGACCUGUUGCAUGAAAUAAAUCCCUCCUUUUCUACCUCAAAUAUUCCCAAUGCUACCUCGGGGAGUCAGGCUUUGAAGACCCAGGAGAGAAUUUAACAGGCAAUUUUGU